Molecule: ribosomal RNA, 213 nt
Filed under: Myrmecolacidae sp. WNBB
Lineage: Eukaryota; Metazoa; Arthropoda; Insecta; Strepsiptera; Myrmecolacidae
Description: partial 18S ribosomal RNA
Source: RNAcentral
UGUCGGUUAUUCGCUCGUCGGUGUCUAACUGGCAUGGUUCGUGGGACGUCCUGCCGGUGGUGGCGAGUCAAAGCCGAGCUCCCGUCACGGUUCCCCGUGUUCGGUUCUUGCUCGUCGGAGACGGACCCCGAUGAAAUCCUACCGCGGUGCUCUUUACCGAGUGUCGAGGUGGGCCGGCACGUUUACUUUGAACAAAUUAGAGUGCUUAAAGCA